GCCCCAGACCCCGGGCUCGCCGAGAGCUUUACGGUCGCGGAGCCGGGAAAGCCUGCUGGCUUGCCUGAUGCAGCAUCCUGGCAGAGAGCCUUGGUGUGCCAUGUCUCUGCCAUGAGAAUCUGAAAAUGAGCCCCGUGGAGUGAGGACUUUGAUGAUCUGGAAGGACACUGGCAUGGCAUAGUAGUUACUUACAGGGCAUCAGAUAGCAGAAGACAGUGGACUCACGAGCACCCAUUUCCAUAGCUGGACCUGCUUAUUCAAACGAGCCUGCAGCAAUCACCUC
This is a long non-coding RNA of Microtus oregoni (creeping vole), 283 nucleotides long. RefSeq lists it as uncharacterized. The transcript has 3 exons. NCBI's taxonomy places the organism in Eukaryota, Metazoa, Chordata, Mammalia, Rodentia, Cricetidae. The record is from RefSeq and is a predicted model, not a curated record.